Molecule: ribosomal RNA, 216 nt
Filed under: uncultured bacterium
Lineage: Bacteria
Description: partial 16S ribosomal RNA
Rfam family: Bacterial small subunit ribosomal RNA
Source: RNAcentral
UGGGAACGUACCCUUCGGUUCGGAAUAACCCGGGGAAACUCGGGCUAAUACCGGAUACGUCCGCAAGGAGAAAGAUUUAUCGCCGAAGGAUCGGCCCGCGUCGGAUUAGCUAGUUGGUGGGGUAAUGGCCCACCAAGGCGACGAUCGUUAGCUGGUCUGAGAGGAUGACCAGCCGCACUGGAACUGAGACACGGUCCAGACUCCUACGGGAGGCAG